GCAACCUCAGGCUCGCGCACGAGCAGCUGGCGGUGUUCCGCUCGUUGCUGGGGAUCUCGUGGAUGUGGUUCUUCGGCGCGGUGUUCCUGGCCAACUUUCCGGCCUUCGCCAAGGAGGUGCUG
This 122-nucleotide non-coding RNA is filed under the name Roseateles aquatilis. RNAcentral's name for it is "Burkholderia RNA 11". It matches the Rfam family "Burkholderia RNA 11". From Rfam's summary of the family: Co-purified with Hfq, expression confirmed by Northern blot. The record is from Rfam by way of RNAcentral. Lineage: Bacteria; Pseudomonadati; Pseudomonadota; Betaproteobacteria; Burkholderiales; Sphaerotilaceae.